GUCUACAGCCAUAUCACCCUGAACACACCCCAUCUCGUCUGAUCUCAGAAGCUAAGCAGGGUCGGGCCUGGUUAGUACUUGGAUAGGAGAAUAUUAUUCAGCCAAGAAAAAGAAGAAU
Ribosomal RNA from Vicugna pacos (alpaca), 118 nucleotides. NCBI's taxonomy places the organism in Eukaryota, Metazoa, Chordata, Mammalia, Artiodactyla, Camelidae. The record is from Ensembl.